GAUAAAAAUGCAGGUGACGAAAUGAAACGGGUCAAUACGCCCUGCAGGAAUGGCAGCUAAAGGAACGUAUCAGCAAAUACACACUUCAUUGGUAUGCCCAUAGUUAAAACGAGAUCGGCAAUGAACUUUGGAAGGAUGGCGCCUACGUGACGUUGACAACUGGAUAUUACUACGACGCGUAAAACAUUCCGAAUUGUUUUGGGGAAUUACGACGUUAACGAACACACCUGCUGUGUAUUGGAUAUCUACAUAUUUGAAAAGUGAUCGUGACCCUUCAUCUGGUCUUUUCUCUAAGUGAAAAACUUGCCAUGAACGGGUUUUUUUGUUUACAACAAGGUCGUCUUAAAAGAUAUACGUAGUCUUCUGAGGUGAAAACUUGAAUGGCAAGGUGGACACAAGAAAUCAGAUGUCUUUAUUUGCAUCGGCACGAAAACAGGAAAAUCCAGUUGGAUUCCGUUUACCAACUAAAGAUGGAUAUCAAUCAUCAAACAACAAAUUUAUUGCGGCCAGCAAAUGGGGACUACGUAUGGUAUGGCUGGACGGUCAAAGGAAAUGAGCCGUGUCAUGGUGAAGCGGCUUUGUUUUCCAUUUGGAUCUCACGCUGGGCCAAUAGCUACUGAAUUACACUUCUUAUUUUUCCUUCUCCCCAAUCUUUCUUUCUUCUCUCGAUUUUCGGCCGCUUGCCCGUCUCCCCUCCCGUCUCCGAGACAGAGUUGAUAGACAGUGAUAGAGAUUUCAUGAAAUAUUUGUCACAAUGGAGAUCGAACUUCUGCUUUCCUUUUUUUCCAACACACUUCAAUUUCUUAAGAAAAUUCACAUGUCUAACGCUCUAUUUCCUUCGACGAGAUUUUAUCAACACGCUUAUUGAGAAGUAUCAUUUCUUUCAAAUAAAAAAACAAACAAA
This 904-nucleotide long non-coding RNA is filed under the name Daphnia magna. Its description in RNAcentral is "uncharacterized LOC116918654, transcript variant X1". Lineage: Eukaryota; Metazoa; Arthropoda; Branchiopoda; Diplostraca; Daphniidae. The record is from RNAcentral.